Molecule: ribosomal RNA, 387 nt
Filed under: uncultured bacterium
Lineage: Bacteria
Description: bacterial SSU rRNA
Rfam family: Bacterial small subunit ribosomal RNA
Source: RNAcentral
AUUGAACGCUGGCGGCAUGCCUUACACAUGCAAGUCGAACGGCAGCACGGGAGCAAUCCUGGUGGCGAGUGGCGAACGGGUGAGUAAUAUAUCGGAACGUGCCCGGUCGUGGGGGAUAACGUAGCGAAAGCUACGCUAAUACCGCAUACGAUCUACGGAUGAAAGCGGGGGAUCGCAAGACCUCGCGCGAUUGGAGCGGCCGAUAUCAGAUUAGGUAGUUGGUGAGGUAAAGGCUCACCAAGCCGACGAUCUGUAGCUGGUCUGAGAGGACGACCAGCCACACUGGGACUGAGACACGGCCCAGACUCCUACGGGAGGCAGCAGUGGGGAAUUUUGGACAAUGGGCGCAAGUCCUGAUCCAGCAAUGCCGCGUGCAGGAUGAAGGCC